Non-coding RNA from Pteropus alecto (black flying fox), 126 nucleotides. The record is from Rfam. NCBI's taxonomy places the organism in Eukaryota, Metazoa, Chordata, Mammalia, Chiroptera, Pteropodidae.
GUGUUGUACAAAAGGAGAGGUGGGCAGCACUCUCCUUGACGAGGAUAGAGGAGGCUCUUGGGCCUGACAACACACAUGUGGUUAAGACAUUACUACCUAUUUCAUGGCAUAUAACCAUCAUAUUUU